CAGCGCCACAAGUGGGAAUCGCUUUUAUUGGGCCUAAAGCGUCCGUAGCCGGUCUAGUAAAUCUCUUGUGAAAUCGUUCGGCUCAACCGAGCGGCGUGCAGGAGACACUGCCAGACUAGGGACCGGGAGGGGUCAGAUGUAUUCUGGGGGGAGCGGUAAAAUGCUAUAAUCCUCAGAGGACAACCGGUGGCGAAGGCGUCUGACCAGAACGGAUCCGACGGUGAGGGACGAAAGCCAGGGGAGCAAUCCGGAUUAGAUACCCCCGUAGUCC
RNAcentral lists this ribosomal RNA (271 nucleotides) under uncultured archaeon. RNAcentral's name for it is "partial 16S ribosomal RNA". It matches the Rfam family "Archaeal small subunit ribosomal RNA", at positions 477 to 747 of the family's 1478-position model. The record is from RNAcentral.